This is a non-coding RNA of Zootermopsis nevadensis, 393 nucleotides long. Lineage: Eukaryota; Metazoa; Arthropoda; Insecta; Blattodea; Termopsidae. The record is from RefSeq and is a predicted model, not a curated record.
CGCACGUCACCUACGUGGAGUAAAUGGGGUUAUACGUGGGGUUUUCGGUACUGUAGAUUGCCUACUGAUCAUAUUCGGUAAACCUCAUAUGGCAGGGUAUCUAAGCCAAUUUGAAACGUGCUUUUAGUAAGGAAAUUUUAAUGGAAUCUGCCAUGAAGAACAUGUUCAAAGCACCAUUUGUAGCGCCUGGAACUAUCAAGGAACAUUCUUGUCCUGGGGAUUAUUAUGGCACUUUUGAUGGAAAAGUAGAAGCUUUCAGCCCUGAAUUAGCCACCAUAGAAAGAACAGACAUCAAACUUGUUAAGAAACACAGGAAAAAAGGGUGCCAACAUCACAGUCUCAAAAUAUCCUGAACACAGGUUUUCAUGCUGGUGAGUCUGAAGAUUGCCUCCA